UACGAAGGGGGCUAGCGUUGUCCGGAAUCAUUGGGCGUAAAGGGCGCGUAGGUGGCGGGACAAGCGUGCGGUGAAAGCCUGGGGCUCAACCCCGGGUCGGCCGUGCGAACUGUUUUGCUUGAGCACUGUAGAGGCAGGCGGAAUUCCGGGUGUAGCGGUGGAAUGCGUAGAGAUCCGGAAGAACACCGGUGGCGAAGGCGGCCUGCUGGGCAGUAGCUGACACUGAGGCGCGACAGCGUGGGGAGCAAACAGG
RNAcentral lists this ribosomal RNA (253 nucleotides) under uncultured bacterium. RNAcentral's name for it is "partial 16S ribosomal RNA". It matches the Rfam family "Bacterial small subunit ribosomal RNA", at positions 524 to 776 of the family's 1533-position model. The record is from RNAcentral.